AUUGAACGCUGGCGGCAGGCUUAACACAUGCAAGUCGAGCGGGGUGAUGGUGCUUGCACUAUCACUUAGCGGCGGACGGGUGAGUAAUGCUUAGGAAUCUGCCUAUUAGUGGGGGACAACAUCUCGAAAGGGAUGCUAAUACCGCAUACGUCCUGCGGGAGAAAGCAGGGGAUCACUUGUGACCUUGCGCUAAUAGAUGAGCCUAAGUCGGAUUAGCUAGUUGGUGGGGUAAAGGCCUACCAAGGCGACGAUCUGUAGCGGGUCUGAGAGGAUGAUCCGCCACACUGGGACUGAAGCACGGCCCAGACUCCGACGGGAGGCAGCAGUGGGGAAUAUUGGACAAUGGGGGGAACCCUGAUCCAGCCAUGCCGCGUGUGUGAAGAAGGCCUUAUGGUUGUAAAGCACUUUAAGCGAGGAGGAGGCUCUUUUGGUUAAUACCCAAGAUGAGUGGACGUUACUCGCAGAAUAAGCACCGGCUAACUCUGUGCCAGCCGCCGCAGUAA
RNAcentral lists this ribosomal RNA (503 nucleotides) under uncultured bacterium. RNAcentral's name for it is "partial 16S ribosomal RNA". It matches the Rfam family "Bacterial small subunit ribosomal RNA", at positions 30 to 523 of the family's 1533-position model. The record is from RNAcentral.